Desulfuribacillus alkaliarsenatis is the source of this 73-nucleotide transfer RNA. It matches the Rfam family "tRNA". From Rfam's summary of the family: Transfer RNA (tRNA) molecules are approximately 80 nucleotides in length. Their secondary structure includes four short double-helical elements and three loops (D, anti-codon, and T loops). The record is from Rfam. Lineage: Bacteria; Bacillati; Bacillota; Desulfuribacillia; Desulfuribacillales; Desulfuribacillaceae.
GGACGAUUAGCUCAGCUGGGAGAGCACCUGCCUUACAAGCAGGGGGUCGGCGGUUCGAUCCCGUCAUCGUCCA